AUUGAACGCUGGCGGCAGGCCUAACACAUGCAAGUCGAACGGUAACAGGAAGCAGCUUGCUGCUUCGCUGACGAGUGGCGGACGGGUGAGUAAUGUCUGGGAAACUGCCUGAUGGAGGGGGAUAACUACUGGAAACGGUAGCUAAUACCGCAUAACGUCGCAAGACCAAAGAGGGGGACCUUAGGGCCUCUUGCCAUCGGAUGUGCCCAGAUGGGAUUAGCUAGUAGGUGGGGUAACGGCUCACCUAGGCGACGAUCCCUAGCUGGUCUGAGAGGAUGACAAGCCACACUGGAACUGAGACACGGUCCAGACUCCUACGGGAGGCAGCAGUGGGGAAUAUUGCACAAUGGGCGCAAGCCUGAUGCAGCCAUGCCGCGUGUAUGAAGAAGGCCUUCGGGUUGUAAAGUACUUUCAGCGGGGAGGAAGGGAGUAAAGUUAAUACCUUUGCUCAUUGACGUUACCCGCAGAAGAAGCGCCGGCUAACUCCGUGC
Molecule: ribosomal RNA, 491 nt
Filed under: uncultured bacterium
Lineage: Bacteria
Description: partial 16S ribosomal RNA
Rfam family: Bacterial small subunit ribosomal RNA
Source: RNAcentral